Molecule: ribosomal RNA, 500 nt
Filed under: uncultured bacterium
Lineage: Bacteria
Description: partial 16S ribosomal RNA
Rfam family: Bacterial small subunit ribosomal RNA
Source: RNAcentral
AUUGAACGCUGGCGGCAUGCCUUACACAUGCAAGUCGAACGGCAGCACGGGAGCAAUCCUGGUGGCGAGUGGCGAACGGGUGAGUAAUAUAUCGGAACGUGCCCAGUCGUGGGGGAUAACGUAGCGAAAGCUACGCUAAUACCGCAUACGAUCUAUGGAUGAAAGCGGGGGAUCGCAAGACCUCGCGCGAUUGGAGCGGCCGAUAUCAGAUUAGGUAGUUGGUGGGGUAAAGGCUCACCAAGCCGACGAUCUGUAGCUGGUCUGAGAGGACGACCAGCCACACUGGGACUGAGACACGGCCCAGACUCCUACGGGAGGCAGCAGUGGGGAAUUUUGGACAAUGGGCGCAAGCCUGAUCCAGCAAUGCCGCGUGCAGGAUGAAGGCCUUCGGGUUGUAAACUGCUUUUGUACGGAGCGAAAAGGCUCUCUCUAAUACAGCGGGCACAUGACGGUACCGUAAGAAUAAGCACCGGCUAACUACGUGCCAGCAGCCGCGGUAA